This 66-nucleotide transfer RNA is filed under the name Laothoe amurensis. Its description in RNAcentral is "tRNA-His". The record is from RNAcentral. Lineage: Eukaryota; Metazoa; Arthropoda; Insecta; Lepidoptera; Sphingidae.
AUUUAAAUAAUUUAAAAAAAAUAUUGAUUUGUGGGGUCAAAAAUAUGAGUAAGUUCAUUUUAAGUU